ACUGACAAUGAGAGGGCUUUAGAGGAACUUUUUGGGGAUGAGGAGGAUUCUCGCAAAGGUGAUGCAUGUUUGAACGUGAUGGCUACUCGCAUCGCUACUGUUUUUGCUUCUUUAAGGGAAUUUCCUUUUGUGCGCUAUCGUGCUGCCAAGUCCAUUGAUGUUACCACAAUGACAACUUUUCAUGAUUUGAUUCCCACAAAACUUGCUGCUAGAGUUUGGGACCGUCUAAUGCAUUAUAAACAAAAGAUUGAAAACUUUCCUCAGACAGAAACAUGCGAGCUGCUCAUCUUGGACAGAUCUAUAGAUCAGAUUGCUCCUAUUAUACAUGAGUGGACAUAUGAUGCCAUGUGCCAUGAUUUACUGAAUAUGGAG
RNAcentral lists this unclassified non-coding RNA (372 nucleotides) under Hevea brasiliensis (rubber tree). Lineage: Eukaryota; Viridiplantae; Streptophyta; Magnoliopsida; Malpighiales; Euphorbiaceae. The record is from RNAcentral.